GUGAGAGGGGGCAGCGAGGCAGCCGGCCCCGGGGGCUGUGAGGGGACGGCUCGCAGGGGCAGUGUGGCCCGCACGGACAGAGGAGGCGCGCGGCUGCUGUGCUCUGGGUUUCCCCCCAGCCCCGGGCCGUGCAGCGCUUGUUUCCCAGAAGUAUUGGAGUCCCUUACCCGCAGGACGGGAGAUUUGGGGGCCCCUGUCAUGCCUGUCCGUUAGGAAAAGCGAGCUCUGAGUCAGCUGCGUGGGGAAACCCGGCGCUGCUCAGACUCAUCUCACGUAUUUUCCUCCUAAGCACACACCUCUGGCUCCCUGCGGAGUCCUUGCGCACGGGCUCGGAAAGCAGCGGGUAGUCUCGGUGGUGGGAUCCUGAACCCUUCUCACCUGGCCUACAGCUGGUAUGAAUUUGUUUCUCUGUUGGUGAUGCUCAGACUGUUUUUGAAGCGUGGCACCAUUGUCCAGGUUUUCAAGAUAAAUAGGACUUCUUUGAGAAGAACAGCAGCAAGUAAAAUUGAAUCCUGCAUCCCCUGAUUUGCAAUGGACAUUAAAGUUUAUCUGUUUAAAAGAAUAUUUACAGGUAAGUCCUCUGUUGGAGGGCACAGGGAAGACCAGCAGGAUAUUUCCCUGAUUCCCCUCUCUUCAUCACUGACUCACUUUGAGAAUGCUGGCUGCGGCAGGGCUCAGGAGAAACUAGCAUGAAGUGUCACGCAAAUGCUCUUUGCCACGCUCCAGGAGAACUUCAGACUGCGAUAAGUACCUUAGCAGCCAACGGGGCAACAGGGAGCCCGUCCUGAGAGAGAAAGCAGGCUCACACAGCCUGGCUGGAGAGAGACGGCAGGACCCCCUAAUCGAUAGCGCAUUCGACCAAGCUGGAGGAGCUGCCGAACGCUGAGGCACGUGUGACCUGUUGCAGAGUGAGUGAGCAGCACCCCCGUUUCACAGACACAGGCCA
Long non-coding RNA from Athene cunicularia (burrowing owl), 946 nucleotides. RefSeq lists it as uncharacterized. The transcript has 4 exons. Lineage: Eukaryota; Metazoa; Chordata; Aves; Strigiformes; Strigidae. The record is from RefSeq and is a predicted model, not a curated record.